UUCUACCUUGCCCUUUUUGACACCAAAAAUUCCAACAAAUAUUCUCCAUAUCACAGUGAAGAAAUUUUGGUAAUAAAAAACAUGACAUUAAGUAGGUAGGAAUGGCUUGUAGAACUGAUUUUAUGAAAACUUCCUUACCCCUUGCGAUAAAUGUCUAACACUCCAACUGUCUAUCCUACUCUCCAUGCCAUCUUUUAACAGUUGAAAUGUCAAUCUCUU
Molecule: long non-coding RNA, 219 nt
Filed under: Gossypium barbadense (sea-island cotton)
Lineage: Eukaryota; Viridiplantae; Streptophyta; Magnoliopsida; Malvales; Malvaceae
Description: long non-coding RNA (GBAR_LNC002488)
Source: RNAcentral